Molecule: ribosomal RNA, 473 nt
Filed under: uncultured bacterium
Lineage: Bacteria
Description: bacterial SSU rRNA
Rfam family: Bacterial small subunit ribosomal RNA
Source: RNAcentral
CGCUAUCACUCCUACGGGGAGGCAGCAGUAGGGAAUCUUCCACAAUGGGCGCAAGCCUGAUGGAGCAACACCGCGUGAGUGAAGAAGGGUUUCGGCUCGUAAAGCUCUGUUGUUAAAGAAGAACACGUAUGAGAGUAACUGUUCAUACGUUGACGGUAUUUAACCAGAGAGUCACGGCUAACUACGUGCCAGCAGCCGCGGUAAUACGUAGGUGGCAAGCGUUAUCCGGAUUUAUUGGGCGUAAAGAGAGUGCAGGCGGUUUCUAAGUCUGAUGUGAAAGCCUUCGGCUUAACCGGAGAAGUGCAUCGGAAACUGGAUAACUUGAGUGCAGAAGAGGGUAGUGGAACUCCAUGUGUAGCGGUGGAAUGCGUAAAUAUAUGGAAGAACACCAGUGGCGAAGGCGGCUACCUGGUCUGCAACUGACGCUGAGACUCGAAAGCAUGGGUAGCGAACAGGAUUAGAUACCCUGGUAG